This 1556-nucleotide ribosomal RNA is filed under the name Staphylococcus aureus. RNAcentral's name for it is "16S ribosomal RNA". It matches the Rfam family "Bacterial small subunit ribosomal RNA". RNAcentral also lists the same sequence under 1 other name. The record is from RNAcentral. Lineage: Bacteria; Bacillati; Bacillota; Bacilli; Caryophanales; Staphylococcaceae.
UUUUAUGGAGAGUUUGAUCCUGGCUCAGGAUGAACGCUGGCGGCGUGCCUAAUACAUGCAAGUCGAGCGAACGGACGAGAAGCUUGCUUCUCUGAUGUUAGCGGCGGACGGGUGAGUAACACGUGGAUAACCUACCUAUAAGACUGGGAUAACUUCGGGAAACCGGAGCUAAUACCGGAUAAUAUUUUGAACCGCAUGGUUCAAAAGUGAAAGACGGUCUUGCUGUCACUUAUAGAUGGAUCCGCGCUGCAUUAGCUAGUUGGUAAGGUAACGGCUUACCAAGGCAACGAUGCAUAGCCGACCUGAGAGGGUGAUCGGCCACACUGGAACUGAGACACGGUCCAGACUCCUACGGGAGGCAGCAGUAGGGAAUCUUCCGCAAUGGGCGAAAGCCUGACGGAGCAACGCCGCGUGAGUGAUGAAGGUCUUCGGAUCGUAAAACUCUGUUAUUAGGGAAGAACAUAUGUGUAAGUAACUGUGCACAUCUUGACGGUACCUAAUCAGAAAGCCACGGCUAACUACGUGCCAGCAGCCGCGGUAAUACGUAGGUGGCAAGCGUUAUCCGGAAUUAUUGGGCGUAAAGCGCGCGUAGGCGGUUUUUUAAGUCUGAUGUGAAAGCCCACGGCUCAACCGUGGAGGGUCAUUGGAAACUGGAAAACUUGAGUGCAGAAGAGGAAAGUGGAAUUCCAUGUGUAGCGGUGAAAUGCGCAGAGAUAUGGAGGAACACCAGUGGCGAAGGCGACUUUCUGGUCUGUAACUGACGCUGAUGUGCGAAAGCGUGGGGAUCAAACAGGAUUAGAUACCCUGGUAGUCCACGCCGUAAACGAUGAGUGCUAAGUGUUAGGGGGUUUCCGCCCCUUAGUGCUGCAGCUAACGCAUUAAGCACUCCGCCUGGGGAGUACGACCGCAAGGUUGAAACUCAAAGGAAUUGACGGGGACCCGCACAAGCGGUGGAGCAUGUGGUUUAAUUCGAAGCAACGCGAAGAACCUUACCAAAUCUUGACAUCCUUUGACAACUCUAGAGAUAGAGCCUUCCUCUUCGGGGGACAAAGUGACAGGUGGUGCAUGGUUGUCGUCAGCUCGUGUCGUGAGAUGUUGGGUUAAGUCCCGCAACGAGCGCAACCCUUAAGCUUAGUUGCCAUCAUUAAGUUGGGCACUCUAAGUUGACUGCCGGUGACAAACCGGAGGAAGGUGGGGAUGACGUCAAAUCAUCAUGCCCCUUAUGAUUUGGGCUACACACGUGCUACAAUGGACAAUACAAAGGGCAGCGAAACCGCGAGGUCAAGCAAAUCCCAUAAAGUUGUUCUCAGUUCGGAUUGUAGUCUGCAACUCGACUACAUGAAGCUGGAAUCGCUAGUAAUCGUAGAUCAGCAUGCUACGGUGAAUACGUUCCCGGGUCUUGUACACACCGCCCGUCACACCACGAGAGUUUGUAACACCCGAAGCCGGUGGAGUAACCUUUUAGGAGCUAGCCGUCGAAGGUGGGACAAAUGAUUGGGGUGAAGUCGUAACAAGGUAGCCGUAUCGGAAGGUGCGGCUGGAUCACCUCCUUUCUA